RNAcentral lists this long non-coding RNA (255 nucleotides) under Elaeis guineensis (African oil palm). RNAcentral's name for it is "long non-coding RNA (EGUI_LNC031894)". Lineage: Eukaryota; Viridiplantae; Streptophyta; Magnoliopsida; Arecales; Arecaceae. The record is from RNAcentral.
GGGCUCUCACUCUAAUAUAUGAGAAAUGAAGAAAUCGAGUUUGGAUCUUUUGUGGUGUGAAUUUUGUACCAUAAAAUUCUAUAUCAUCAUGGAUAGCUACCAUAUCAUCCAUUUGGGAGGUGAGAGGCUCUCACUCAUCUAAAAAUAUGUCCAAAUAUUUUUAGCAUGAUACACGGUGCAUCAUGAGGAUAAAGAAUAGCCAUCUCCAAAAUGGAUGAUAUAGCAGCUAUCCAUAAUGACACCAUAAAGAAUCCC